This 347-nucleotide transfer-messenger RNA is filed under the name Paracholeplasma vituli. It matches the Rfam family "transfer-messenger RNA". Rfam says of the family: Bacterial tmRNA, also known as 10Sa RNA or SsrA, is named for its dual tRNA and mRNA-like properties. Its role is to liberate the mRNA from a stalled ribosome. Lineage: Bacteria; Bacillati; Mycoplasmatota; Mollicutes; Acholeplasmatales; Acholeplasmataceae. The record is from RNAcentral.
GGGGAUGUUCUUGGAUUCGUCAGGGUUUUAAAUGUGAUAUAAGCAUGUCUUGGUUGUGCAAGUAAAAACACCGAGGUUAUUAAUAACCGGAAACCAAAAUUUACAAUUCGCUGCUUAAGAAAAAGUGCGAGCCAACGCUAGGUUUUCUUACGACUUAGUCUAAGGCACAAAACAGUAAGAUAUAUUUAGUUGUUGCCACCUUAAGCAACUAAACGAACUAACAAGGUUAGUCAAGUCAUAAUAUGUCAAUCUAUGAUUACUUGAUGAAAACAACUGAUUGACUAAACAUGUAGAAAGUAUCACAGGAAAAAUCAUGCACAGGGGUUCAACUCCCCUCAUCUCCACCA